RNAcentral lists this ribosomal RNA (386 nucleotides) under Delphinapterus leucas (beluga whale). Its description in RNAcentral is "small subunit ribosomal RNA". It matches the Rfam family "Bacterial small subunit ribosomal RNA", at positions 800 to 1373 of the family's 1533-position model. The record is from RNAcentral. Lineage: Eukaryota; Metazoa; Chordata; Mammalia; Artiodactyla; Monodontidae.
UCGUAAACUUAAAUAGUCCUUAAAACAAGACUAUUCGCCAGAGUACUACCGGCAACAGCCCGAAACUCAAAGGACUUGGCGGUGCUUCAUAUCCCUCUAGAGGAGCCUGUUCUGUAAACGAUAAACCCCGAUCAACCUCACCAAUCCUUGCUACCUCAGUCUAUAUACCGCCAUCUUCAGCAAACCCUAAAAAGGAACGAAAGUAAGCACAACUAUCGCACAUAAAAACGUUAGGUCAAGGUGUAACCUAUGGGUUGGGAAGAAAUGGGCUACAUUUUCUAUAACAAGAACAUCCCUCAAGUCUACACGAAAGUUUUUAUGAAAACUAAAAACCAAAGGAGGAUUUAGCAGUAAAUUAAGAAUAGAGUGCUUAAUUGAAUAAGGCC